UCUCCAGUCGGACCUCGGGGGCGCGCUCGGGCCGUGUCGCGCAAGUCAAGUCCAAUGCGACGAUUUGGCAGGAGGGACAAACGCAAGCUUUCCUCUUUUUUUUCCUCCACUCCUCUCUUUUUCUCCAAACCGGAUAUUUUUGGCAUCGUCAAAAAAGAAAAAAAAAUCCUCCACAUACUGUCCUCUCCAAGUUUAUUUUCAUGACAUUUCGCCUUGGACGGAUGGGAGCGCGGAGUUUCCAGCUCCUCACUUGCACCGCAGCGGACUAAAGGCUGAAUAACUGCAUUAUUCAUUUUUACGCACCGGGUUUUUCUGUUUGUCCGGACUCUUGUUUCUCUCUCGCUUUUUUUAUUUUGUUAACCGUCCGGGGAGCGGAGCGUCGAUAUCGCCAUCAUCAUUUUAAAAGAGAGAAAAAAAAUCCUCUCGUUGCAUGGAGACUGAAAUAAGCAUCUCCUCUGCCGCUGCCUGCACAUAAACUGCUCGUGGAAGAGAAAACAACAGUUUUUUUGUGUGUAUGUGUGUGUGCACAGAACUGGAUUUAAUGGAGAAUAAUACAGUGAUCCGGGGAAGCUGAUGGGAGCGUUUGGGCUGUUUUCGCCCUCUGAAGCAUUAUCCCUGUGCGCAACUUCGCUCGAAACAAACCAGUAUUUAUUCAUUGGAUCGUUGGGGGUUGCUGAGCCGAGCUGAAGCCAGACGCACACUCUUG
Centropristis striata (black sea bass) is the source of this 706-nucleotide long non-coding RNA. RefSeq lists it as uncharacterized. The transcript has 2 exons. Lineage: Eukaryota; Metazoa; Chordata; Actinopteri; Perciformes; Serranidae. The record is from RefSeq and is a predicted model, not a curated record.